AUACAAUACUUUAGCACAGUCUAUCCGUCUCCAUCAAUGGUGGUUUUAGUGGAGCUUCACGUAAACCCACCACACCCAUUCUCUCUCUCUUUCUCUUUCUCUUCUAUCACCUUUACCUUCUCUGUCUUAGAGAAACGAAAGGAAAAACAAGUAACAAACUUUUUUUUUACGCAAACCCACUAUACCCAAAUAUCCCUUUUUUUUUUAUUUGCUUUUGAGGCAAAGAAAGGAAAACCCAAAAAUUUUUACAUGAAAUUGGAUCCAACUUUAUUAUAAAAUCCUUCCUUAAUAAAUAUUUACAAAAACUUCCAAUUUAUUUCUCUUUAUAUUCCAACAACGGCAAAAAAUUCAUGGGAAACAUCGGAAGUAGCGGAGUGCAUGGCCGGCGAAGGCACGGAAGCCGGCGAAACCACCCUCCGCCACCACAGCUAGCACCUCCAGCACAGCCGCAACCUGAGAUCUCCGCCAACCGUUACGUCUUUGCCGCCGCCACUCCUUACCCGCCCCAAUACUACCAGUAUCCAGGCUACUACCCGACUCAGCCGCCGGUACCGUUGCCUCUUCCGGCGCCGUAUGAUCAUCAUCAUCGAGGUGGGCCCCACAUAGAGCCCGCAAAUUGGAGUAUGUUUGUGUAUGGGCCAAUGAUGCCACCGCCUCCGGUGCCUUAUAUAGAGUAUCAGAAGGCGGUUACGAUAAGGAAUGAUGUUAACUUGAAGAAGGAAACUUUGAAAUUGGAAGCUGAUGAGGAGAAUCCUGGGAAGUUCCUGGUAUCUUUCACGUUUGAUGCUACUGCUGCUGGAAGGAUGACUGUUAUUUUGUUUGCAAAAGAAGGUCACGACUGCACUCUGACUCCGAUGAAGGAAAGUAUUCUACCACCAGUAACUGUGCCUUUUGAACAAGGUCUAGGACAGAAGUUCAGACAGCCCUCUGGAACGGGGAUUGAUUUCUCUAUGUUUGAGGAGUCAGAAUUACUGAAAGUAGAUCAGAUUGAUAUUUAUCAUCUGGCAGUGAAAGCAGAGGCAUUGCCCGUCAACCAGAAUGGGUCAGAUGGAAACCAAGUAUCAGGAGCCAUGAAUUCUCAGAUAACUCAAGCGGUGUUUGAAAAGGAGAAGGGUGAAUACCAGACGAGAGUAUUGAAACAGAUUCUGUGGGUGAAUGGGAUGAGGUAUGAGCUGCAAGAAAUAUAUGGGAUUGGAAAUUCAGUUGAUAAUGAUGUUGAUGCAAAUGAUCCUGGAAAAGAAUGUGUUAUUUGCCUUUCAGAGCCUCGGGACACAACUGUUCUUCCCUGCAGGCACAUGUGCAUGUGCAGCUCCUGCGCAAAGGUUUUGAGUUGCCAAACUAACCGGUGCCCAAUUUGUAGGCAACCAGUUGAGAGGCUUUUGGAGAUAAAGGUCAACAAUGGCCCUGAUGAAUGAGAUGAGAACAUGUUUCUUGAGCUAUCUUCCUGUAUAGUAGCUUGUUGAUGUCUUUCUUUUUCCUUUUUUAUCCUUUUCUCUUAUCACUUUUCAUUUUGCCCUUUUGUCCUCCUCUCUUUUGUUUUGCGUGUCAGGCCUUUCCAAUAUUCAAACGGAAAGUUAUAAUUAAGUAUGCUACAUGCCUGCUAAAAUCCUGAUAAUAGUCAUCGAGUGCCUUGAAUUUCAUGGCUUUGGGCUGGACGUACUUGGAAGUGGUCAUUCUUGUGAUGCACCAGACGAGUCAACAAGCAACAACCAAUCCGGGAUGUAACUUGUAGGUUUUUGCUUUGCCUAACUUCUUUGGGACGAUCAGUUGAAAACUGACAGGAAACAAGGACUUUCACUUCAUCCAUUGUCAUUGUGCAUCGCGCGUUAAAAUAUAUUGAUGUGCUUAUCCUGUUUGUUUUAUUGGGCCACACGUGAU
Non-coding RNA from Durio zibethinus, 1878 nucleotides. The record is from RefSeq and is a predicted model, not a curated record. NCBI's taxonomy places the organism in Eukaryota, Viridiplantae, Streptophyta, Magnoliopsida, Malvales, Malvaceae.